CCUGGCCGUGACUCAGCAGCACAGUCCCCAGGCUGCUGGGGACGUCCAGUGGAGGGGACACGGAGAGGCCUGACACCAAGAGGCUCUAAGCUGUCCAGUGGGCGACGCUUUCCAGAACAAGCUGGCUCCUAGGGUGCUGUCCCCGCCCUGCCAUGGUUGGCCUCCCAGGUGGCAGCCUUCUCCAUUGUCCAUAGCAUCUCCAUGAUGGGCCCUAAACUGGGUUGAGGGACAGACCUUCAGUCCGGCCGAGCACCACAGAAGCUCCCUGUUUAAUGGGGUACAGCCGAGCGGGCCUGGGGGGCGCAGCAGCCAAGCGUUCACCGCGGCCCAAGAGACUCAUGGGUGCCAGACACCACCUGGCAGCACGGGCUCAGCUCAGCAGGUGGAGGCCAAGGGCCUGCGGGGGCUCAGGCCUGUUAGCCUCACAGGAAGCCAACGGGUCACACCAAACCCCUCCAGCUGGGAACCAAGAUACACUGCUACUAUGUGGCCAACGCGACCUGUUCUCAAGGCCUGAACAAGAAGUUGCUCAGGAAGGGCAUGCCACUCUAUGAAGCCUCCCAGGCAGGGUCCUGUGAGUAGGAGGUGCGACCUGCUGUGUCAAACAAACUCUUGUCCUUUCAGGGUGGGCCUGGUGGGAGGACAAGCUCCAGGGUGGGAACCCAGAGACCACGGGCGUGUUGGGUGGCUUGUGGCUACUCGGCCUAGCCGCGUGCUGCGGGGCACAGCAGGGGCUUGCCCACAGGUGUGACCGAGCCGUCCCAGAGAGCUCCAGAGUGGGCAAGGCCCGCAGACAGUGCGGUACAGUUCCCUCAGGACAGUCCCUGCAUCCAGCGGUGAGCCUGGAAAGUGACCCUCAGCCUGCCGGACCCACUCCCGGGUAGGCAGGGCCAGGUGCCCGGGAUGGGGCGUGCUGGGCAGCGGCCUGCGGACAGGUGCUGCAAGCGUGACUCAGCAGCCUAGUAGCCUGACAGCCACCCCGCCCCGGGCCGCCCGCGGGUCAGGUGCCCAAGGACAGCCUCCCGCCCGCGGGUCAGGUGCCCAAAGAAGGCCCCGCCCCCAAACCAGCGGGGGCAGGGCUGCCACUGGGAACUCCUGUGCUUUCUCACAUUUGGCCCUUGGGGACCGUGGCGGGCGGUGGGUUUCGGGAGGGCUGCAGGACUCAGGAAGAAAAGAAGCCGGGGGCGCUGUGGAGACCUCUCCCCAGGGGAGCCGGGCCCUUCCCGGCAUGCCCUGCGGCCGGCGCCGCCCUGCCCCCACCUAGGCGGCAGGAGAUAAACAAGGCGGUGGCGGGAAACCCCCUGGCAGGGCCCUCUGCUCCGGCCUCCGCGGUCAGGUGGUCUGGCCGGCAGUGAGUCAGAGUCCCAUGACUGCUGUCAUAACAGGGGAUCCCCGGCCCUCUGCUGCCACCCAUCUCAGUGAGCUCUUCCUUGGCGGCAGGGGCGGGCAGCGGACCCAGGGCCUUCAUGCCCGGAGGACCCCAACCUCCCUGCAUCCACUGGCCCGGUUCCCACCCUCCAGAGCUGGUGGGACACUCAAGGAAGGCCUGGCACCUAAGUCAGGAGACCAGCUAUCAACCACUUGCCAUCUUUGGGCAAAUGACCAGCCUGUUUCCUCAUCGCUGGAGUGAGUUGCCCCUUCCAGGGGGGCCGUAGGUGUGCAAGUUGUUUAGCUGCCCAAAUUUGGGGGGUCAGGGAAGAGACUGCAGAGGGGUUUUGGGGGACAGAAUAGGGAGCCAGCAAAGACCUGAGCCCAGCGGGUCUGGGAGUCAAGCAGGGGUGGGCGGAAUGUCUGAUUCUGCUUUUUGCCACCUGAUGUAUUGUAGCCACGUCCUCAGUUUUCCCCUUCCCUUUUCCUAAAUAAUCUGUCCCUUAGCAAUGGUUUUCUCCAAAGUUCAUUUUCUUUGGGAUGUGGAGUCAAGUGUCCAGCCAGAGACAAGGCCGAGCGUUUCUGGGCAAUCCCUUAGGAGACUGAGGACCACAGGGGGCAAAGGCCUUCCAGACCAGCUGUAGCCCACGGGAGAGCGUCUCCAGGCCUGCAGUGCAGCCACUCCCUUCCACUCACUCACAGGGCAGCCCCUGCUCGGUUCCCAAUCAGGCCAGCUUACUCCACCUGGAGACUUUUCUCAGGCCCCUCCUCUGAUCUGAAACCCUUUCCCCUCCAGCCCUGCAUGGCAUCGUCCCACCCUGAAUCUGACCUCCUCAGUGGGGCUUUCCCUGCCUUCUCUCUUGGAAAAAUCCCUGAGCACUGCACAUCACCUUUUAGCCCUUUCCUGCUGCAGCUCACAGCCCAGACAAGGGGUGUCAGGGGACAAGGGAGUGGAGAGUAUGCCCACAAGAGGUUUGGAAACGUAUUUCUAAAGGAAAAGGCGCUCAAGGUUUAGACAGACGUGGCUAGAGAAUUCGGUCAUGCCAAGGUGUUGGGGAGUGGGGACACCAGAAACCCUCUGGCGCGGCUGCUGGGGGCAUUUCUCCAAAUAAAUUCUCACACUCCCCAACUCAGGGAUGGGGCGAGACCUUGGGCCCUCCAGGCUCACUGAGGGAUGCCUAACGUUGCCUAGCAAUGUGCAUGGCCAUGAAGACGGCUGUCACCAACACCAAGUGGGGAGAGAGAGGCUGGCAGAGGCCUGCUGCUGGGCUGCCCCUGGCCAGAGACCUAGCCCCACAAACAGAGGGCCAGUCUGACUGCAGAAGGUUCUGGAAAGGCUGGACACGGUGGCUCACGCCUGUAAUCCUAACACUCUGGGAGGCCGAAGCAGGCGGAUUGCUUGAGGUCAG
Microcebus murinus (gray mouse lemur) is the source of this 2777-nucleotide non-coding RNA. Lineage: Eukaryota; Metazoa; Chordata; Mammalia; Primates; Cheirogaleidae. The record is from RefSeq and is a predicted model, not a curated record.